Molecule: ribosomal RNA, 449 nt
Filed under: uncultured bacterium
Lineage: Bacteria
Description: bacterial SSU rRNA
Rfam family: Bacterial small subunit ribosomal RNA
Source: RNAcentral
AACGAACGCUGGCGGCAUGCCUAACACAUGCAAGUCGAACGAAGCCUUCGGGCUUAGUGGCGCACGGGUGCGUAACGCGUGGGAAUCUGCCCUUGGGUUCGGAAUAACAGUUAGAAAUGACUGCUAAUACCGAUGAUGUCUUCGGACCAAAGAUUUAUCGCCCAAGGAUGAGCCCGCGUCGGAUUAGCUGGUUGGUGAGGUAAAGGCUCACCAAGGCGACGAUCCGUAGCUGGUCUGAGAGGAUGAUCAGCCACACUGGGACUGAGACACGGCCCAGACUCCUACGGGAGGCAGCAGUGGGGAAUAUUGGACAAUGGGCGAAAGCCUGAUCCAGCAAUGCCGCGUGAGUGAUGAAGGCCUUAGGGUUGUAAAGCUCUUUACCCGGGAUGAUAAUGACAGUACCGGGAGAAUAAGCCCCGGCUAACGUCCGUGCCAGCAGCCGCGGUAAU